RNAcentral lists this long non-coding RNA (23501 nucleotides) under Medicago truncatula (barrel medic). RNAcentral describes it as "long non-coding RNA (MTRU_LNC000957)". Lineage: Eukaryota; Viridiplantae; Streptophyta; Magnoliopsida; Fabales; Fabaceae. The record is from RNAcentral.
AGUAGGAGACUGCGAUUAGAAUGCAAUUUAUUUAUGUCUAUAGCAGGUAGGAGCUAAUUGUAUGUCCAUUCCAGAUAAAUGGGAUUUGGUUAAGCUUUUUUUAUGUGAUAAUGACCAAUUUUUUAUUUAUUACCGAUUUGUUUUUGGAUCCUAUAUGAUGAAUGAAACAGUGUAUGUACUAUUUUAUGGUUAUGUUAAUCUCAACAUAGGGUUGCUAGAAAUUAUAUACUAAUCAACUAAAGCUUUUAAGUUGAAUAAUAUCCAUUAUAAAUGGGAGUGGAGUUUUUGUAUAGGGGAUCAUGAAGCAAUCUGUGCAAACUACAGAUUAUAAGCUUAACUCAUUGGUAUUGAACCAAACAGAUUAUGCAAAGAUGAAUGUGUGAGGAUACUUGAUCAGGCAAGAGGUUUCUAGGAUAGAUCAUGUUACAAAGAUAAAUUCUGCAGCAAAUAAACAUGUAAUGGAAGGAGAUUUAUAUGAAAUAUGAACGCGACCCAUUUCCCUCAAUCAUAUAUGUAUUGUUGAAUCUGGAUCAUCAAGGUGCUCUAUCAAAACAAUCAACAAAGGUAGUUUCUCCUUUGGAUUAUUGGGGGAAGAUUGCUUGUUGGUAUAAGAACAUGACCAACACCAACAUUGGUCAUGUUGUAUAUGACAUGAUGCACCCCCAAAAUAUUGUGUUGGUGAAAAUUUUCAAUGACAUUUCGUUUAUCUUAUUAAUAAACAUAACUAAACGUUUUCAAUAUUCUCAUACAUAUACUUGAACUUAACAACAAAAAGAGAUAAACGUGGGAAUAGACAGAGUGCUUUGGUUAUUGAUCGAAUACCAAUAUUACAAUAUUUAAAAAUCUCCAUCUUUGAAAGACAUUGGUAGCAUCACAUGAGCAAUGGGGUCUCUCUUCACCUUCCAUUUCUUGAACUGUUUUGAAGCAGCUUUCAAUGCCCUGCCCCAUCUCUGUAUCAAAUAGCACCCACAACCACAAGUUAUCACCAAUAAUUACUUCAAUUUCAACAUUUUACUAAGCUAAUCAAUUCAAUUAAUCUACAUAAAAAUCUCAACAAUAGUAAAGUGACCAAAAAGUUUUCAAGGCUCUAAAUACUUAUUACAAACUAUCACUGUGUGUUAAAAAAAAAAAAUAAAAUAAAAUAAAAUUUUGAUGAAUACCCAUUUUCAUAAACCAGAACACAAAAUAAAAGAUAUGCUUAAAAAACAUAAACCAAUUGAUAAAUAAAUGUAAUAACAUAAAAAGUAACAAAUAAGUUAAAAAGAAAUACCUUAUUAUUGAUGAUGGGGUUACAAGCACAUUUGAUCCUUGAAGGUGUUGGAGAGAAAUCAGAAGCAAUCUUCUUGUUCUUAAUGAAACCAAAUUUGAGAUUGAAGGAAUUAGAAGUGAACUUCUUCCUAAGCUUAGAACCAACCUUGUUGACACUGCAUCUAGCUCCUAAGGCAAUGUCAUAGGAAAGUUUCUUUGGAGUAAUGAGAUCCAAAUCCAUGGGAGAGUAGGGUCUUGGAACCAAAGGGGACCAGAUUGUGCUUUGAGAGUAGUCAAAAUCAUAAGCAGAGUUAUCUGGGAAUUUGCAGAGAAGCUCUAGUGACAUGAAUGGUUCUAAAUAUUCAACAACUUUUGUAGUGUUCAGUAACAAUGGUUGUUGUUGUUGUUGUUGUUCUGCUUCUUCUACAGAUUUCAUUGCUGAAUCAAAGUGUUACUGUUUGGUUAGUUACUUUCUUUGUUUUCUUCAAAAGCUUUGGUUUGGUUGGAUUUGUUUUGCAUUGUAAUCCAAUAAAGGAGGAGAGAGAAAUAAACGACAAAAAAAGGAGCCGUUGUAUGUCAUGUCACAACUUAUUUUAUAUAAAUAAAAGUAGCAAACAAAUAAAUAAAGGAUAUUAUUACUUCCAUCAACGUUUAAUACCAAUAUUACAUAUAAAAUACCCUCUACGUUCUUUUUUAUAAAAAGUAAUUAGACUAAUUUUUGUCCCAAUUAUAAAAAGGAAACUUCUACGAAUUGAGGUGCACUGAUACACUCAAAUUUUUGGAUGUAACAUAGAAUUUGCUUUAUAAAAAAAUAUAAUAUAUAAAAACAUUUUCAACAAAUCAGAGAACUGUGAGAAACAUGGGUGGAGAAAGAGUCCCAUUUUCAUGGUAUGUAUCCUUGAGAAAGUCCAAUAGCAUGAAUGCUAAAACAAGUUAAUUAAUCCGCUUGUUUUCGGUAGUUGUUUCUUUCAUAGCUACUCGAAAUUAAAACCAUUUGAUUUUUUUUUAUUAUUAAAAAGUUUAUGUGAGUUAGAUCUUGAAUUAACUAGAACUGAUAUAGACUUUAAGGUUCAAAAAAUUGUUGAUAAAAUAUUAGAGAUUAUCCACCAACAAGGUCAUUACAAGAAUUGAAGAUUUACCCUUGUUUUUUGAAGUGCGUAUUCAAAUUGAAUAAAUUAUUUAAAAGCACUAGAGCACGUAAAUUUUCUAAUUUUCACAGACAUGUAUGGCAUAAGUGAUAAACACUUGAGCCCAUUAACCAUUUGUUUUUGGCUUCAGUUCCUAACUCGGAUGCAUGGAAAAACAUACGUCUGCACGCGCGAGAAUAUCUUGGUUUACCAAAAUAUACUACUACUUUUCUGUGUGAAAUGACUAUAUUUGAACCGAUUCCUAAUCACCUAAGAUUGAGCACAUAAAAUGCCGUUAAAAAAAAUUAAGUACAUAUAAAUAUGACCAUAGAUCUAUCUCAUAUAGUUCUUUGAGUGCAUAGCAAGCAAAACGAAAGUGCAUGUCCAAGCAAGAAUAUAUUCCUCACAAAAUAAUUGAUGAACUCUAUUUUAUACGUACUAAUAGUAUCCAAAUUCCAAAGAAAUGCAAUGCACCACUUAACCUUUAUCCUUUUAGAAAAUUGUUAGCUUAUAAUUAACAUAUCACAAAGUGACAGCAACAAAUUAAAGCGACAGCAGAAUCAACUUUAGUUUAUAUAUUCAUGCUUUCUCACUUUACGGCUACCAACUAACUAUUUAUAUUACAGUCCAUUUCUCUUACUCUCCAUCAGCAAAAUCUGUGAGGAUAUUUUCAAAUUUCAACCUCUAAUUUUGUGCAUUAGUGUUAAUCCAAUUCCAAUGGAGUCAAGAGCUUACAUCCUUAGAUUCAACAUUGCACAUCUUUGCCUCUUGAUGCUAGUUUCCACUCUUUUCCCUUUGUGUGGUAAACCAUGCAUAUAAAUUAUAUGAUUAUUUCAUAUACUAAUCUAUCUAUGUAACUUCAGUUUAAUUUGUGUAGUAAUUAAUAAAACAUAUGUAACUUUUGUUAAAUUUGCAGAUGCUAUAAAUCAUGGAAGAGGUAGUAGAAGCUACUCCAUCAAAUCAUGGAAGAAACUCAAAUUUUCAUCAUUUGGCUACUCAGACUUAGAUUCUUCAUAUGGUACUCCUUCUUCUCAACCACUUCCACCUUUCAAUUCACUUGCUCCACAACCUACCUCUCUACCACCUUAUUCACCUGUUCCAAACCCACCUCAUGAUGUUUUUAGACCACCACCAAGUCCUAAAACCAUUGUUACAAUGUCGCCGCCGCCACCUCCAAGCCCAUCAAAACAUGUUCCAAGCCCACCUAAAAGUGUUAUAGGCCCACCUCAAGUAUACUUGCCACCUAUUGUUUAUCCACCACCACCUUCAACUCAUAAGAAGCCACCACAAUAUGCUAUUUGGUGUGUGGCAAAGCCUACAGUUCCUGAUCCUAUAAUUCAAGUGGCUAUGGAUUAUGCCUGUGGGUCUGGGGCUGACUGUAAAUCAGUUCAGCCUAAUGGGAUAUGCUUUCAGCCCAACACAGUGUUGGCACAUGCUUCUUAUGCAUUUAAUAGCUAUUGGCAGAACACUAAGAUUGGUGGGGGGACUUGUGAUUUUGGUGGUACUGCUAUGCUUGUCACUGUUGAUCCAAGUAAGUUUGCACUACGUACCAUAUUUGAUUACCUUUGUUAAAGAGAUUAAUUUUCAUAUAUUUCAUUUUUUUUUGUAAGUAAUUUUUCCAUGUAUUUCAUGUUCUACACUGUUAGCACAUUUACAUGUUGAUCUAAUGAUAAAAAAAAAAAAAAAAUUUUGAAUCGGCAAAAUAUUAUAUGUAUGGACCGUAAAAGUUGAUUAUGAUAAAAUUUAAACAGUUGAUUAGGAUAAAUAAUUUAAUUUUUUGGUACAAAUAAUAAAAUAAAUUUUAAUGAAAUUAUAUGACAAAAUUAACACUUCACAUGUUUCAUAUAUAUCGAGAUUCUUUUUUUGUUACAAUGAGAUCCUUUUAUUUAGCUGUUAGUUAAGUCAUUUCACAUCACAUCACAUACUAUAUAUAUCCACACAACAGGCAUAUGCCACUUGAUUUCUUUUAAAUUGGAAUCUAUCCGGGUAGAGAAAACAUGAAUUCAUGACAUCGGUAGCCGGCGUCUGAUUAAAAAUAAAGGUUUUUUUUAAAUUACCUUUAAAGAAUGGUGGGUAAUUUAUCCACCAACCAAUGAAAAUGAGCAAUUUAUUUGUGGAGUCAAGAUAGUUCAUGAAUAUGUGUUUAUGUGGCUAAUGUGUAUUGGUUGGGGUAAAUUACCCAUCAUUCUUUCAUGGGUAGCCUAGUUGCCACCAAAAAUAAAUGGUUCAAAUAAAUAUAUAUUUUAAUUUAUAAUUUAAAAAAAUAUCAAAUUUAAAUAUGAAUGGUUUAAUCUUGAUCAAACAACUAUUGAUGUGCUAUUGUGUGAUGUGUGCUUGAUCCCCUUUCUUCUUUUGAGGUGCAUUCUUCAUUGUCACACUCGGUGGUAUUAGAUUCGCGCACAGUCACUUAAAGCCCACAUUCACCUAUUCAAAACGUUGUUGACUUAUAUGGAUCAAGAUCUAAAGGAAUUUUAAGCUGGUUUUUAAGAUAAAAAACAAAAAUCAAACCUUAAAACCUGCAUUGUUCGAUCUAGAGUCAACGAUCACCGACAUGGUGAAAGUGAAUUUUUGUAACUACAUGGAAUGCAUAUUUCGUAGUCUUUUCAAUUUAGAACUAUGGAUUAUUGCUUCAGACUAACAUUUCCCUCAAAUCCUCGAUUUAUUUGGCAGGUUAUGACAAGUGCAGCUUCAAGUCGACUUAGCUCAUUGCUUGCUAUAAUACAUAGCAUUUGGAGACUUACCAAAUAUUGAAAACUUCUUGUUCCAAUGUAAUUUUUUAUGCAACGAUAAAUUCCCUUACUUAAUUAGAUACAUUAUUUGGAGUUACCUUGAUCAUAGUAUAUUCCGCCCUUGCUUAAUUUUGUGUAGUUCUAUAUAUUUCUAAAAUGGUAGGUUUAAUAUAUAUAUUCAUGACCAUAAUUUGAUAUUUAGAGAUGUAUGUAGCUCUAUUACGUUUCUGGUUCUUUAGUUUAAAACUUAGAUAAGCACCCAUCUUUUGUGUAUUACUAUCAGCGUUAUAAUCCUUGAAAACUUAGAUAAGCACCCAUCUAAAUGCAUAUAAGGUUAAGACAAUACCGACAUCAAAAUGCAGGUUGAAUACAUUAUCCGACUAAAAUCCAUUUCGCUUUCUUCAUGCAUGUGCUCUACAGUUAUCUUCAAUGAAUAAAACAGUAGUUACCUUCAGCCAGCUUGUAAUAUGUUGUCGCACCUGCGAAGCUAAUUUGCAUUCAAAAAAUAAGUGAGAAACAUUUUCCUGCGAAGCUAAUGAAGUGUACGGAAAAAUAAAUAAAAAAUUUACAUUUUAUUAUAACAAAGCAAACAAUUUACUCUAUUGCUUUUUUCUUUAAAAAAAAAUAAAAAAUUUACUUUAUUGUUUCGUGGUGUUUUUUUUAUUCAUUUACUUACUGAUAAAAAACUCAUAUAGACAAAAGAACUGAGUUAAGUGAGAAAAAAAAUGAGAUUAUAGCUAGUAUUGAUAUUUUUACUAAUGUAUUUCGAAAAAUAUUUCAUUCUGUUGGUGUAUAAAAAUUUACAUUAGAAGCAGGGAGGGAACCAUAUUUAACGGUAUAAGAUAGGAAAGAAAAAACAAAUUACUUUACCCAAAAAAAAAAAAAAACAAAUUUUUAUUUGCAAAUAUAAUGCACACAUGAAAUUUAAGAAAUUAUAUGUUACUUCCCUCAUUUCCUUUUUUUAAGUGUUUUUUUAGAAAAUUAACACAAAAAUCACGAAGUGUAUUUUUUGCACAUUUUCUUCCUAGUAUACCCUCAUUUUAAUCCACUAAUAAAUUUCAAUUGUUUUGCAAACACUUUAUCUUUCCAAUAAAUUUAAUAUGUUAUAUUUCUCUCAUUGUGAGUUACUAUUAUCUUUUUCUCCAACAAAUUCCUAUUUUUUUACAUGCACUCUCUCAUAACAAACAAUUGUCAAUUUUCUAAAUAUUGUGUACAUCUUUUCAAUUAUUUUAAGUCAAUAUAAAAAUUAAAUUGAUGAAACUUCUUCUUCUUCAUUGUCAUCUUGUUCUUGUUCUUGUAUCUUGUCGAAUGAGUUUUCAACUAUUGCUCCCUCUUCACAUCUCAUCAUCAAUUUCAACGAGUCUUCCACUUUUUCAUCCUUUUGAGCAUACUACAUGGAGUCUUUUAUUUUUCUUCUCUCAAAUCUUUUAUUUUACUUUGCCCUUGAAAUUUUUAACAAUUGAUACUCAUCUUAGUUAUCGAAUUUUAACUCUUCUUGGAACCAUUGUUUGUAACAAAAUUUUGUUUAAAUUUGAAGAUAACAAGAAACAAACUUUGUUUAAAAAAAAACUGUGUUCCAAAUAGAUAGCAUUAAUUAGUUUUAUUGAAAAAGCUAAAAGUAAUUGGCAAAGGGUAUAAUUGACAAAUCGUAAUUUAAAAUACCAAAAAGACAGUAAAAUAGGAACGGAAAAUUCACCAUAAAAAGACACUUAAAAAUGAACGGAGGAAGUAUAUCCAAAGUUAAUAUGUAUCGAAAAUUGUGUUCAUGUGUAAUUUAUUUGUUGUUUUUUGUUGCCGUUGUUUCUUUAGUGGCACUUUGACUCUGUAAAUACUUGUCGGUGGUUCUCCUUUUGCAUACCUUAUACAGGUUGAACCACUCUGAUUUUAUUAAUAUCUCAUUUUGAUUUGUUAAAAAAAAAUGUAUCUAAAAUUAUAAGAAAUUUCAAAGAUGUUAGAAAAAUGAGUUCCUUGAGGCUUCUUUGAGUGUGACCAAAGAAGAUUUUUUUAAUAGUAGAGAUAGGAAAUAAGAAACAACAAGAAUGUAAAUGUAGGAGAAGAAAUUCAAGAUAAUAUCACAAACAUUAGUAGUGACUGAAAGGGCGCAAACAACACCGCGUGCAAUAUUUCUUACAGUUUGAGUGAAAUUGCAACAAAUAAUCACAAAUUAAUAUUCUAGUUAAGGUUCUUCUAAUUGCAUAAAAAAAAACUCACUUUAUUUCUCAAUUUCUCAAUGUUAUGCAUUCUAGUUAAGGAUUUGUGUUAUUAAAAUUUGAAAGUUAUACAAUGCUAAAUAUACUGAGUAAAAAAAAGUUCAUUAUACAAAAUCAUAUUAAGUUCACAGAAAAUAGUAUAGUGACAAAAAAAUAAAAAUAAUAAUAACAUACUAAUAUGAAGGGAACCAUGGCCUAUGUUAGUCUCCGUUCUAGUUUCAUCCCUGAUUGCAAAGUAUAUCAUAAUGCAAUCUUGUGUAGCUACGAUAAGAAUUAAAUAUUUUCAAUUAUCUACUAAUAGUAAUGAUUAAUUGACAAUGCAAGUACUCUUUACACCUGCAUUGCAUAUGAAUUAGAAGUCACUUUGUUGGCAUAUCACUCCUCAAUCUUGUGAUCCUCCGUUCAAAACUAGCGGUAUGGUAACAAAACCCAUAUAUGUGGGUAUCCGUUUGAACCAAACUUAAAUUGACGGGUUUUUUUUAUUUUAAUUGGGUUUGGGUUUGUCUCGAUUUCAAAAGAUAGAUACGGGACGGGUAACAGGAAUAUAGGUACUCAUCUCAAACCCAUCCUGAAUGUAGAAAAUUAAUUUAUUACCCAUUUUAUAUAAAUAAAAACUCAAACCCUAAAUCAUUUCACUCAUACAAUCAGAGUCUCGGUCUUUCAGAUGACACAAUUAUCAUAGUUCUUUCUUUUCUCCUUCAAUAUUCCACACUCUCAGCCUCUCUCUUCUUCAUCACCAUAGUCAUCGAUCGUCGUCAUCUUUUUACUGAAUAAUGCAUUAGUCAUUACAACUUUGCGCUCGGGGAUAAAAAAUACUUUUAUUUUUAAUAAAAAAAAAUUAUCCACUUCGGGGAUGGGAAUGAGGCGGGGAUGCCCAAACCCGUCGGGGACAUGGAUGAGAUUCGAUUUCUCAUCUCCGCUGAAUAUGGGUAUGGUAACGGGUAAGUAUUUGAAAAUAUGGUAUGAGGACGGGGAAGGUAAAACUCAUCCUCACCCUACCCCAUUGUGAUGCCUAUUCAUGAAGCACAUAUAUUUAGGUAAAUAUUAGAAUAGAAUAACAUUGGAAUGAAAUAAUGACAAAAUUAUCUCUUCACAUGUUUCAUAUUGAGACUCUUUUAUUUACAAUGAGUUCCUUAUUUCGUCGUUAUAGUUUAAGUGAUUUCACAUCACAUACUAUACCCUAACAACAAAGACAUAUUAUGCCACUUGGUUUCGGUACACAUUUCAUUGUCACGCAUCGUCGUCUUAUGGUUGUUGUGCCUUCAAUUUAGUUAAAACUAUGGGCUAUUGCUACAGACUGACAUUUUCCUCAAAAUCAAAACCACCGUUUAUUUGGCAGGUUAUGCAACUUCAUGUUGACUUCCUUCUAUUGAAAACCUCUCUUUCCAACGUAAUUUUUACGUAGCAAUACAUCCCCUUUGCUUAAUUAGUGACAAUAUUUGAAGUUACCCUACCUUGAUCAUCAUCAUCCCUUGCUUAAUUGGUGACGAUAUUGGAAGUAACCUUCAUCAUCUUCUUUGUGGUUUUUCUAGGAAUUCUUUAGGUGUCUUCGAGUUUGGAAGCAUACAAUCAUUUUUGUAAUAAUUAAAAAUUAAAAUUGUUACAAACUUCUAAAACACGGAAGGGUGAUUGAGUUGUCCUCGUGGAGUCAUGUGUCCAAUUGGUUAUAUAUACAAUCAUAUUAUAAUAGUCGUAUAUACGUAAACAUUUUUUAAAAAAAUAUGUACCACACUUUAAAAAUUCACAUAUGCAUUAAUUAAUUUACUUUUAACCUUAUCUUCUAAUAUAUUAUUAUAAAUUAAUUAAUAGUUAUUUUAAGAAAAACCAAUAAACAAUAUAACGCAAACUUGAAACAAAGAGUGAAUCAAGGAGAAUCUACAAAAUAAGUAGAGUAAUGUAUAAUUAAUACAGAAAAAAAAUUAACAAAUAAAAUUUAUCUCACCUUACCAAUGGAGAUUUUAUCUAUUGGAAAUGGUUGAUAUACUUACAAUUAGUUUUCGACACACAUCGAAUAUGAUUAUCUCCAAUUUAUGUGGCGGAAAAACUUAUCACACACGUUAGAAAAAGAAAAAAGUGUUUAUUUUUCUAGUUCCAUGAGUUUCUACAAGGUUUUUUUUACUUCACUAGCUAGUGAUGACUCGCAUGUGAGAUUUGCGAGUGCAACUUAACAUAUGUGAUUUUGAGACCACGAGAGAAGCAUAUAAUUUUUUUUUUUAAAGUACUAUAAAAUAAUAAUAAAAUUUGAACAUAUAUAUGAAAUGUGGUUGUAUCUUUCAGCAUGGAUUAGAACUUUGUUUGUCAUGUUUAUGAGAGUUUAAUCUCUUGCGCUAAAUUCAACCUUAUUGGUGAAUCUAGAUUUUUUUUUUUAUGUAUAUAUGUAUAUAUAUAUAUAUAUGAUGUUUCUAACCUAAUUAAGAGUUAUAUGUUGUAAUAAUAUUAUAUAAUUGUCUUUUUACUCCUUUUCGAUCUUGAGUUAUUUUGGGACGGGAAAAUAUCUUUAUUUUGGUUUUCAUAUAACUAUUCCCCCUUUUUUGUGAAUCCAAAGCAUUGCUUGAAAACUUUUAUUAUCAGCAUUGCUCGAAAGUUGAAACUAUUCCCGCUGGAUUCAAAGUUUUCAACUUCACUAAUUUCUUUGAAAAGAAAAUACUAUAAAACUUCACUGACAUGUUACGUUACAUUUGGAAGCCAGUCAUGUACCGUAAUAAUUGAAGAAAAAAUAUUAUCAGCCGACACUAAAUGCAUAAAAGGUUAAGACAUUACCGAUCCAUGUUUUGUCGUUGAACAAUUAGUCAAAUGUUAAUUGGUUUCAUUCAGAAUUAAGUGUAAAAAAUUUGAUGAUGAUAAUGAAAGAGACUUGAGUGUAUUACCCGACUAAAAUCCAUUUCGCUUUCUUCAUGUGCUCUAGAUCUACAAUUACCUGCUACACAUUCCAAUGGAUAAAUUCUGGUAAUUAUAAAUGUGAUUACUUAAAAUAUAUAUGGUGGCUUCUUAAACUAAAUUAUAUAAAUUGUUAUCGUUAAAAAGCGACUUUUAGAGUUUAUAGCAACAAUCGUAUCUAUUUGUUCACGGGUUUUUGGAUUAAGUUAGAUUUAGGCUAUUGGUCAUUUCAGUCCACUUAUAAAAAUGGAAGGAUGGAUAUUAUUUUAUUAAUUUACACCAUUCGGAGAAUUUCCUUAUUUUGUAUCAAGUCAAAUAAAAAUUAUAGCCUCAACUCUGGCAAAUUAUUUGCAACAUGUUACCCAAUAGUCUACAUUAUAUAUCUAUUAAAAAUCUUAAUAUCUUGUACAAACAUUGUGUAUAAAUCUUUAUUCGAUCAGUUAUAACAAAUUACAUAGACAUAUAGUGUGUUCGAUCGAGAAAAAUAAAUAAAAGAUUGGACAUGAUAACUACAUUUAUACUAUGUGAUUGUAAAACUACAUCAGGAACUAGAUAAACUUAGAGGGUAAAGGACACGAUAAAAAUUGAAAUUAUUAUCAUUUACUAAAUCAGAAUACAACUUUUUGCCUCAAAUACAAGUGAAUAAAAUACCCAAAUAGACUUUUAUCCACCAAGGAUCGUCGUCUAAGAUAAAAAAAAUUGUUCAAUAUAAUUAAAGUUAGUAAUGUGUCUUAUGUCUUAUUCCGUGUUCUUAUGUCCAAUACUUACAUUUUUAGAUAAUCAAACGUAUUCAUCCUGUUGAAGUACAUGGAGUCGAUACAAGUUAAGAACACAGUGGCUUGGGUUAGGUGAUAGAUGUACAAUCGUAUAGCUUAUAGGUCAAUUCUAACAUGUUUCUGAAAGUCAUUUUGUAUGGAGGUGUGUUAUUUGAACAAUCAUUUGAAUGAUAACUUUUGUGACAACCACUAAUUUACAAAGGAAAGUAGAUAGUGACACGGAAACCAAAGUAAUAGAGAGAUAAAGUAAAAAAAUAAUGUGAGUAUGAAAAAUAAAAUUGUCACAAAAUGGUUGUCAAAAUAUCAUUUCUCUUUUGUAUAACAUGCACAAAUAUUUAAAAGAUAAAUGAUAUUUGUAUAACCAUUUUUUUGACAACUUUUAGACAAUUUUCUCUCUCAUAUUCACGUUAUAUUCUUAACCUUUCUUUUCCUUUUUCUCUCUCCUUUGUUUUUAACCAAUAAAAAGAGAGGAAAAAAAAGUUGUCAAGAAAGUUGUUAGCAAAUAGUUGUUCAAAUAUCAUUGCUCGAGUUAAAAUCGUGCUCACUAAACACAAAUGAUUUUUGACGAAGUUUUGUGUAGGCACAAGCAUUUCGGCGCACAUACAUAAAUCAAAAAAAUUAAAAGAUAAAUAAAACAGUCACAUCAAUCAAUAUCAUUUUAAUCAUUUAGUUUUUAAUUUUUUUUUAACUUCAUGGAUGCGUACCUAAAUGUGAGGUGUUGGUCAUAUGACCAAAUAAGAGAUUUUCAUGAUUUUUUUACCAUAAGAUCAAAAAGUUAUAUCAUAUCUCAUUUUAUUACAUUUUUUCUUUAAUGGUGGGGUUUAUUGGUUUCUAAAAAUAUAUCAAUUACCACCCUUUGUUUUCAAAUUCUUUAACCCCGUCACUAAAAACAUAAAAGUAUUUGGAGUAGGUUUAUUUUGUGAAAACAUUUUAAGUUUUCUAGAAUUUAUAUUUUUAAGCAAAAGUGAAUUGCAAAAAUUUAAGCGAGAUUUUUUAUCACAAGUUUACAAUUAUGGUGAAAUCGAAGAACUUAACUACUUAGGUUGUAAACUAAGAACAUUUUAUUAACAAAGAACCAAAAACAGGCAUGAUGGAGUGCAUAGACCAAAAUCUAAAGAAAAAACAUCAAACAGAAAUAAAGGGAAACUAUGUCGAUUAUUAUAACAACAAUCCUCUAAAAUAAAUCUAGGUGGAAGAGUCCACCAAAUAUAACGUUUAGAUUAAAAACCAAAUCCCGCUAUAAAUAUGAGAGAUUACAAUUAAUUGCAUUUGAGAACACAAUGACAAAGCAUUGCGUUGUCUUUUUUUUUUUUUUUUUUUGUCAUUUAGCUUAAUGGCUAUAGAAAUUCACCUUAAAGAUGAAUAAUUGAAGUGUCAUGCAUCGUCUGUUUUUUAAUCUCCACGUGAUAGACCGAGAAUUCUAAAAAGACUUCACCGAUAAUGACGGUGGAGAUUAAAAAACGUUCAUAAUUGCGGCCAACAAAACAAUUUGUGACUAAUAAUUCUAACCUUUUUAAAGAAAAACACGAAGUAGACAAGAAAAAGGAUGUAUCAAUAUGACAAUCAAUGGAAGUCCAAAGUCAACUCUAAAUGUUAACAUCAAAUUGAUUAACGUUGUAACUUGUAACACCUCGUUUUUUCAACUUAAAAAUUUCACAUAUAAAUUAAAGUAUUUCAACAUAAACAGAAUGUCACACUUCUUUUCAUAAAAUCAUAAACAGAAUAAAAUAACUAUUUAUCCUUCAAAUUCAACAGCAUAUCAUUUAUUACAUCGCAACGGAAUGUAUUCAACAUUUAAACAUCUUUUGCACCAAGGCCUCAACAUAAAAUCUCUUAAAGUUAUUCCAACAACAUGUUCAUGAAAGUUCAUAAAAUAAUACGUAAGGAAUAGAAAGCAACAACAAAAUUCUCAUCCCGUUACGUAUCAGGGCACCUAAGACACACGUGAGAGAUAGUCCACUCACGACAACAACUAACAGCAACUAUUCUCGAUCACCUGCAGGUUACCCAUAUGAAGGGUAACAAUUCCAAGCAGAAGGGGUGAGAUUUCAUAUUCAAAUAAUAAUAAGCAUAUAAUUCAUUAAAUGCAUUUAACAACUUAAACUUCAUCAAUUAAUAACAUUAACUCUUCUUAUAAUACUUCGUUAAUAACUCAAUCAAUUUCUAAUCAUCAUUAACUUCAUAUUCAUCACAUUAUAUACAACAUCAUAUAGCACAUAAUAAUCAGAUCAUAAACAUCAUCAUAUAACGACAUAAUCAUCACAUCAUAAACAUCAUCUUAUAACAAGAUAAACGAUACAUCAUAAACAUCAUCUUAUAACAGCAUAAACAACACAUCAUAAACAUCAUCUCAUAACGACAUAAACAACAACGAUUAAUAAAUAUUAAUACUUCACUUAGUUCUUUAUUAACAACUCAUUGACAAAUGACAACUUAACGACAACGACAAUGCGACUUCUACAUCUUAAACUCAACAUAUGCAACUUCAACUUCUUAAUCAUGCAUGUGGUACCAACCAGAGCAUCAAGCCCUCAACAUAAAGAGCAUAAAUACACUCACAGGGCAUCAAGCCCUCAACAUAAGAGCAAAAGCUCACAGAGCAUCAAGCCCUCAACUUCAAAUGAUUAUGCAUGGACUCAAAAACGUACAACUUAGACAAAUUCACAACUUAUAUGAUCCAAUAUCUUGGAAUAACAACUUACAACUUUACAACUUAGACCAACACUUGCAACUUAAUGACAAUAAUGGUUCAACAACAACAGAAACAGCAACAUAAACAUCUUGCAACAUAGCAACAUCAAUAAUAACAAUUUGAAUGAUAUAAACAAUAAUAAUUUCUAUAUCAUACAUUUUCAACACCUUAUAUAAAUAUCUUAAAUUAACCAACAAUCAUUAAUCAUUUGAUUCAGGCUCUCUUUAACUCUAUAACUUAAUAACAACUUCCAUUCUUAUCCAAAGAUCAACUCAAAACAUAGGUUAAAUACUCUUAAACAUCUUAAUUGAACUCAUAGUACUUCUAGUUUUGAGGUUUUGAAUUAUCCCAUAAGUUUUGGAUUAACUUAGAAAUGGUUAUGCUGAAUUUUCAUAAGAUUUCACUAAGACCUCUCUGGAGUAUUUUUUAUCAUAUCUCAAAAACCAAAAAUCAUUUUCAAAUCAAACCAAAGCCAUUGAAAAGCUAAUAAAAUUAUCUAAAACUUUCAUGUUUACAACUAGACACAGUUCAAAGCGGAAAGGGGUGAAAAAUAGUAAAAUAAGAAGGAUCUGAUUCACAAAAAUCGUGCCACGUUUUUAUGCCCAGAACCAUUGAACUUUCGGCCAACAAAAUUGUGCCACGCUUGCAAAAUCGUGACACGUUUUGACAGCAUCAGGUCCAGAAAUCUGCUUUUCAAAAAGUGCAAUUUUCACCAUUUCGCGCGUAAAAUUCAAACCGUUAAUCGGAUUUUGAUGCCGUUUUCGCCUACACGCUCCUGAAACUUGGCUCUAUCAUAAUCUACAGCUAUUUCAAGUCUCAACCAUCCCAAGAAUCAUUUUCCAAAACCUCACAUAAUCCCUUAUUUGCAAAAACGUUUAGACACCGACUUUUCAAGCGAAAAUCUCAAUUUUCAUCAACUCAACCCCAAAACUGGUUCUAAUCAUUGUACUGUGAAUAAUCUAAGGUCUGAACAUCGUUUCUUCAUUAAUUCAACAGGUUUCUAUCAUCUAAUCAACCAAUUACAACUUUUAACCCUAAUUUCCCAAAUUCCCAAAACUACAACCUACAACAUGUUAAAUCCAAUUUUCAGAAUUAUACAACUUAUAAUUAAAGAAUGUUAUCAUUCUAGGUUCUUCUCUUCUAUUGUUUUCUCCCUUUUUCUCCAAAAACUUGUUUUACGCGAUCCUUAUUUUCUAAUUCUAACUCUCCCCUUUUAUAUAAAUCCUUAACCUACUUAUUUUCUCUUAUUUCCAAAUCUACCCCCAAAGUCUCAAUAUUCUAUUCUAAUAUAUAUGUAUAAUAAAAUACUUCUAUAACAAAUAACAAAUAUAUCUCUAUAACAAAUAUAUUUAUGUACCAGAUAACAUAUAUAUUUCUUCACCAAAUUAGAUAUAUAUUUCUACACCAAAUAACAUAUAUAUUAUACUAAUAAAUACCAACAUAUAACAUAACAAAAUAUCACUCAUCAAAAUAAAUCGACUAAAUUAUAAAAAGACAUCUAAAUUCAAUAAAAUAAAUAAAUAUUAAAAUAGGGCGUUACAAACGUGCUUUCUAUCAUCGAUGAACCAGAGCAAAAUUACCAUUAGAUUCAAUCAAUGGUCAUGAUUUAUACAAAAUAAAAAUAAGAACAUUUAAGAAUUGCCUCGCACAAUCUUGCCCCUAUUAAACUUUUUUAUUUUUGGUAUUCAUCAUCUUCAACCUCCAUUCCAAUUUUUUCGUAAUAAAAAAAAAAAAAAAAACUCCAUUUCAAUUUAGGAGCAAUGCUACAAAAGAGAAUUUGCACAAAAAAUUGAGUGUGUCUUCAAAAGUUUACGGGGUUUGCUAAAAAUCUAGUUUAUGGGUUCAAUUGGAGGUGGUGACUAAUGAAAUUGGAGGUUUAACUCAUCCUUAAAAACCAGUUCAUAAGGUGAGUCACGCCCAGCACUCUUUGGGCUUACGUGAAUCGGUAGGUAUUUGGGCUUACGUGAAUCGAUAGGUAACUCUUGAAUUCGACAGGUUCUGAUACCAUAAUGAAAUUGGAGGCCUAACUCAUCCUUAAAAACUAAUUCAUAAGGUGAGAAUUGUCUCCUCUAUAUUAACUCUUAUCAAGAGUCUUAUCUUUUCGAUGUGGAACAUGAGUUUUUUUCAAUAAUGACCUUUAAAGUUUAAACACGCGGCAUCUUUGAAUUCUACAUAGAAAAAAAAAAUAGAAUUAUAGCGUGUUAUGUUUGUUUCUCUAGAGCAUGAGACAUUUCAUUGUUCAGUUUAUGUUGUCAUGGAAAGGCAUAUGAGUGAUGGGUGUACAUCAUCGAUCGGUGGUUUGAUUCUCGUGAAUAGAACAAAAAAAAUCUGAGCUCAAUGGUACAAAUCCUUACGAUGAAAGGUGAGAUAUAGUAGGAUUGUGUGUGGAUAGUUGUAAAUGUUAUCUUUUUUAAUUCUAGUAGAUCAAAAUUGUUAAUCUCAUUUCAUGGUAAAAAUUAAAUAGUCCAUUUGUGAGGGACUCAAUAGCUCCUUCACCUUAGACGUCACCCUUAAUUAAUAAGAAACUAACGGCGAGGGACUCAACUCCCUCACCUUAGACGUCACCAUUGAUUAAUAAGAAACUAACGAUUGAAGUAAAUAAACGAGAAAGAAACUCAAACUUCUUUCUAAACUUUCUUUCUCUUUCGUUCAUCAAGGAGGGGUGGUUUUUGACCUAGAAUCACCCCUCUACAUCUUUUUUCCCAUUUUCUUUCAAUCUAAAUAAGUGGUUUUCACAUACAAGUGUUUCCUUUUGUGUUUUUUGUGAUUUUGUCGUCUAAGUACAACGCUGUGUUGGUCGUCGUCUUGUGCGGCGUUUGAUUUCACGUCUUGUCGCGGCGUUCGUUUAGUUUCUAUUGAAAGAUUGACAUCGGUCAAUUAUAAAUCCAAUCAAUGAUUUGGGUGUGAAUGUUGCCGAUCUAGAAACAUGAGUAUUUCGGUGACUUAGAUUUAAUCAUAUUAGUUGUAGCAUUUUGUCAUUUUAUGUUAUUAACUUGGGUGCUGUGAGUUUGUUCGCAGUUUUACCCUUUACGUUUCUAGCGAUUUUUGUAUCUGAUGUACUCUAUCAAUCUGAAUGAAUGAAUAUCGUUUUGUUUUUAUUAAAAAAAAAAAAUAAAAAAAAAACUAACGGUUAAAAGUUUGCUCUACAUGCCUACAAUGAUAAUAAAUAGAGAUAAUUUACUACAACUUUUAAAACAAUGAUGCUCAUUUAUAGGAACUUUACCAUAAAUAAGUCUCCAAAGAAAAAAUGAUUUGGAUUGAGGAAUUGAAGGUUUCCAAAUAAGCUAUGUCCAUGAUUGAUCAUAUGCAGAAACUUGACAAAAACUAUCAGCAUCCUAAACUGAAAGAGAACCUGAUGAAGAACCCUUCUAAGCAAGAUAUUCAGUGGAAAACUAUACCCCGAUAUUUAUCAAAUUUCAUAUUUCACCAAUUCAACUCUCUCUAUCAAUAGUAUAUAUAUAAAGUAAGAUUUUUUAUGACACGUGUCACUUCCACGUUUAUUCGCAAUAUUUUUAUUUUUUUUCUAAUUUUUCAAAACCAAUAUUUAAUUUGGCAUAAAUAUCUCAACAAACUUUUGAUCUUAUCUAUUAAAUAUUUUACUUAACUAUUUAUUGAAUUCCUAAUAUUUUAUGUAAUAGAAAUAUCUCAACAAAAUUACAUACGAUACCCUUCAAUUAAAAAUCAUCAAUCAAUCAAUAGUAUAUAUAGUAAGGUUUCUUAUGCCACGUGUCACUUUCAUGUUUAUUCGCAAUAUUUUUAUUAUUUUUAUAUUUUUUAAAAUCAAUAUUUAAUUUUGUAAAAAAAAAAUCAAUAUUUAAUUUGGCAUAAAUAUUUCAACAAAAUUUUAACCUUAGGGAUGGCAAUGGGUACCCUAUCCCAAUGGAUAGGGUACUAUAGUACCCUAUCCAUUGGGUACUCAUUGCCAUAAAUGUAUUGGUCUAUUCUCCACUAUCAUAAAUAUAAAGUGAAAUAUAUUGAAUUGGAAAUGAUGAAAGUAGUAUUAAUUAGAGUUAUAAUUGAAAAAAAAAGUAAUUAAUAAUUGUAUUGAAAAGUUAAAUGCAUCAAGAUUUUUGAGACAAUAUUUUUUACAAAUAACUUAGUUAUUAUGGGACGGAGGGAGUAACACUUUAACAUGACAAUGAAAAGUAAAUUUAAGAAUUAAAAUGCAAGAAAUGAAGAGAAUGUUUCUCUAACACAAAACUAUUUUUUUUUUCUCUUUCACUUAUACACUUUUUUAAUGUGUAAAAUAAAAAAUAAAAAAAACUUAUGUAUAAUGAGACGGAGGGAGUAGUUAGUAAGAACAAAGUCGUCAAGGAACCAAUUAACUCUUGAUUUCACUUCCCAAAAACGUCUUGAUAGUGCUAUACUCCCUCCGUCCCAAAUUAUAAGCAAAAAAACAAAAAUCACACUUAUUAAGAAAACUAAAACAUAAAAAUUUGGAGUAUAGUUUUUUGUGUUUUCGUUGGAAAAAGUUUUAUAGGAAGAUGUAAAAACAAUUUUCAUUGGCUAUUGAUUAUGGAAAAAAUGAAAGAAAGAGAAAAUUGAAUGUAAUUUGCAUUUAAUUUUAUGAGAAUAACAAAAAAAAAUCUUGGAAAAGAUUAAAAUUUGUCUUUUUUCCUUAUAUUUUGGGACAAAGAAAAUGAAUUUCUUUUGCUUAUAUUAUGGAACGGAGGGAGUACUUGGUUAAGCUGGAUUGAGCAUUCAAUUCUAAUUUAAGGGCCUUUAAUUUACCUUAAAGAAUAAACAUAGGACAACCAACCACAUAAUUAUUUAUACCAAACAUUUUCCACCACGUGGGUGAUAUCUGGAAGAUGAGAGUCCAUUUAAGUGAGUCAAUGUGACGAAAAAAAAGAUAAAAUGGCAAUUUUAGGAUCGUAAAUUUCUGAAAAUAAUGGAAGUAGUAAUUCUUUUAACGUUUUCAUUGUUUUAAAAAAAUUAUCCAAUCAUAUUUUAUAUGCAAUUUUUGUUUUUUAGAUUAAUUAAACAAUAAAUUUUGUUAACCAGUGUCCUAAGGGUGAUGAUUAAGGAAUUCAAAUGUAAAAGUUUUGUCUUGUAAUUGUAGGAUGUUACAUUUGAUCAAGUAAUGAUUAUACUACUUUUUAUUAAAAACUUACUUGAUUUAGUUGUUUAACCAGUGUGAACACUAGUUAACAUUCUCCUUAAAUAAUUGAUGUUUCUGAAAUAUAAUAUAUAUAUAUAUAUAUAUAUAGCUCAGAUACAUCACUUAUUUAAUGAAGAGUUUUUUUUUUUUCCUUCUCUUAAUUAACGAAUAAAACUAACACUUAUAUAUCUACCAAAAAAAAAAAAAAACUAACACUUAUAUAAUAUAGUUCGGAUACAAUAUAUUUAUAUAAUAUAAUCCGGAUACAUCACUUAUAUAAUCAACAUUGCUAUUUACCGCGACAAGUUUUGUCCCGAAUGCAUCAAGAAUGAAAAUAAGCCAAUUAAAAACAGCUGUUAGUGGAAAUCAUGGGAGGUGGGGGAGAAAAAGAUGGAAAUCAUAAACUAAUGGAUGGAUGGCAUACAUGCCACAUGUGUCUGGAAAAUCUCGGGACAGUUUUAUUUCGUGUGAAAUAGCAUUUUUCCUUAUAUAAUAUAGUCCAGGUACAAGGCAACUAUCACCGGAUGAGGUUUUAUCUUUUUAUUAAUGAAUAAAACUUUUUUUAAGAAGCUAAAUGCAAAAUAUAUUAAAAACCAAAUUAGUUAAGCACAAGAUGUGCCAAACGAAAAACUGUGUAUAACGUCAAAGUAACAAACUCGAUAAAGAAAGAAACCACAAAUAAUAAAAAUCAAAAGCGAAAUUCAGUUUAUGUGUCUUUAGCCACCACAAAAAAUGAAAUUUAAUAUUGUCGAGAAGUUGAUCCUUAGAAGACACGUUGUUAUUGAAAUUUCUCGAGUUUCUCUCCUUCCAAAUUCUCUCCUUCGAAAUAACUCAAAGACAUGUCAGCACACCACUUUAAAACAAGAGCUAAUGUCCUUCCUGAAAGCAUGCGCGCCAAAAAAUUGUUGUGCGUGACAACCAAUAUUUGAUGGAACGACGGUAGUUUUACCCUACCAGAUCAACAAACACCCUACCAGAUCAACAAACAGGGAAAAUAAAUAAAAAAUAUUUUUGCAAAGUAAUUAAACGGAUUCUAAUGUUUAAUAGGAACCGAUCGAGGACAACAUAGAAAUCAUGCUGGAAUUUGAAGAAGAAAUACAAACCUAAUUAAAGAGAGGGGCUAAGUAUUUCCAAGCUGGAACUUGAAAAAGAAAAACCAUGCUCUAAUUAAGUAACUAAGUAAGGUAGUACAUUACAACAAUUGAGAUAAGUACGACACAUUAUGAUGAUUAUGACUUAUGAGCUGUUAAAUGAUGUUGUAGGAUUACUUUUUUCUUGUCAAAAAUAAAUAAAUGAUGUUGUAGGAGAAACAUUAUUAUAAACAUUAUUAUAACUUACAAGGACUAAUGUUUAAAAAAAAAAACUUACAAGGACUAAUAAUGAGACAGAACGAAAGUGUACGUGAGUGUAGGAGACACGUUAUUAUAACAUUUUAUAAAUAUUUAAACGUUGAUAAUAAUUUUGUCGAUCUAUAAACCACUACCAAUUCCUAGUUAAAUAUAUAAUAAUUUUUAUUAUAUUUGUUAGUUGAUGGUAAAAGAUGAAUAUAAUUUGUUACUAUAUUUUUUUUUGACAAAAUAAUUUGUUGCUAUUUAAAAUUCAUAAAUAUAGUCUAUACAUAUAAUUUUAAUAAAAAUAAAAAUUCACCCAAAAAAAAAUCAAAAAUUUCAUAAAAAAAUAAAUAUUGUUUAUAAUUCACGAGCGUUGUCGCAGUACAAAAAUGGAUAGAUGGAUACCCAGUACUAGUAAUUAAUGAAGUUAAUUGGUAAAAUUUCACUCUUACUGGUGGUUGAUGGUAGGGGUGUUUACGGUGCGGUUUGGUUCGGUUUUGAGAGAAAAAGUCAUCCAAACCGCAAGAUAAAAAAACAUGCGGUUUGUGUAACACCCACAGCUGACGAGGGCAGGGGAGUGGUCACCGGUGCACAAGGCACGCCAAUGAGCGGCUCCCGACAGCUUCUAGAGGAACCGAAUCACAUCUGAAUGAGAGGGAUCCUGAGGCCGUGUAGGUGUGGGACUACAUGAAUGAAGGAAUGCUUAUAAGAAUUGUUUGGUAAUACCUAUAUCAACAAGGUGCAUCUUCUUUUUGGUACCCUAUUCCAUAAGAACUCCACAGUUAAGCGUGCUUGACUUGGAGUAGUCUUUGGAUGGGUGACCUACCGGGAUUCCCGAUAAGCAUGCGAGUGAGGACAAAACACGCUGAAAAGACUCGUGUUGGUUUGUAGGGUCAGUCGACAAUGCUUAAAGUCGUCUGGGAUGUUACAGUUUGGUUUGGUUCGGUUGGCUUUAAAAUAAAAUCCGAACCAAACCAAACCAAUAUGGUUUGGGUUGUAUCGGUUGGUGCGGUUUUUUUCGUGACGAUACGAUUUUUUGUUUCCAACAUUAAAAUCAAGAUAAAAAGCUGAAACACAAUAUAUUUUCAACAAUGUUUUAAAUUUCAUCAAACAUUACAAUUUCAUUUUCAUUACAAUGUUUCCAACAACAUAAACCAAAUUAAAAACGCGGACAAAAAGUAAUCUUAUUUUGUAAGAAAUGCAAAAGACUGAGAUGUUCUCAUUCUCUAAAAGUUAAGUAGCACAUAAAUACAUUUUUAAAUAAAAAGCAAAUAAUGAACUUAACAAGAGAAAAAAAAUAUGACAUUUUAUAAAAGUUUUCAUUGAGUUUCUAUGAGUAUUGGUCUUGAUGACAUAUGUUUAAUUAACAUUUUUCUUAUGUUAUGGUUUGGUUUGGUUUUGUAUCUAUUUGACAGUCUCUUUGUACUUUGAGCGACCUCUUUAGUACGCCUUAUGCUAAAGAGGUGUCUCUCUUAUUGUGAAUAUAUAUCAUUUUACCUUCUUAAAAAAAAGUUAAUUGGUAAAAAAAAAAAAAAUUUCUCUCUUGAUUUAUAUGAAAUGACAUUUUUUUUUGGAACAUGGAGGGUAUUGAUUUUUACACCUUUUCAAAAGCCACUCAAGGAUGAAUAUAGAUUUUUCAUGCAUCAAACACAAGAAUCAUUAGCAUAACAUGCUUUGGAAAACACACACAUAUACUUAAAUUAAUGGUUGGAGUAUCAAAUUUAAAAAUAUUGUUGUCAAUACAUACCCCGUCAAUCCUCCUUUUUUACCCAAUAAACAUUGAAAUGUUGCUUCUUUCGUUAAGCAUAAAAACAUCAAAGUCUAGCAAAAUGUUGUUUUUGCGAUGACACAUUUCAUAUAGUUUAAAGGAUGCAUGAUUCGAUUACAAAAACAAAAUACUAAUAAUUCUAGCACAAAGUUUAAAGCUAAGAUUAUAAAGCUUCAUAGCAUGUGGAUAUUCAUUUAGAAAUAUAGGAUUAGGAUUGCCCCUUUCAUCACGGGUCUAAUAGCACCACUUGUCACUACAUGUUAAAAAUGUCCUCUAGUACAACACCGCUUUUUACUUGAUUCCCCUUGUCCAUGAAAAAAUCAAACAAUAUUUGGACACAAAAAUUUGCCCCCACUUUCCUUUUUCUUCUGCCCUAGUUUGUUUGAAAACUCAUAUUGAUCAAAUUUGGCUAUGAAUUCAAACAAAAAAUUCACUCUGCCCAUUGCAUGUGUGGGACCCACAUAUAAAUCCAUGAAGGAUUUCAAUGUCCAUCCAAGUCAAUGAUUCAACAUAUAACAUUGAAUAAUUUAAUUCCAAUUUGCAGUAUUAUGAUUUAGAUUGAUUGCUGCAAUACGGUCCGUGAAUGUAACUCACGAGAAAGAGGUAUCAAGGUAUUUUAUUUUAUUUUUAACAAAUAAAAUUUCAAGGUCUUGUUCACCAUAUAAACCUCCUCACUCUCACUCAAUUCUCUUAAGUGUAUGACUUCAUAGUAAACUACACUACUUUCUUUAAAACAUGGCUAACUAUGCUAUAGCCAAUGUUUUGAUCCUUCUCUUGAACUUGAGUACCUUACUCAAUGUUCUUGCUUGCCCUUAUUGUCCUUACCCAAGCCCUAAACCACCUUCACACCACCCUCCUAUUGUUAAGCCACCAGUUCACAAACCACCAAAGCAUUCUCCUACUCCUAAACCACCAGUUCAUAAACCACCAAGAUAUCCUCCUAAACCAUCACCUUGUCCACCCCCAUCAUCAACACCAAAACCACCUCAUCAUCCCAAACCCCCAGCAGUACACCCACCACAUGUUCCAAAACCACAUCCACCUUAUGUUCCAAAACCACCAAUUGUUAAACCUCCAAUAGUACAUCCACCUUACGUACCAAAACCCCCAGUUGUGAAACCACCACCAUAUGUCCCUAAACCACCUGUUGUGAGACCACCCUAUGUUCCUAAACCACCAGUUGUACCUGUAACACCACCUUAUGUUCCUAAGCCACCAAUUGUUUUCCCACCACAUGUUCCUCUACCUCCAGUUGUACCAUCACCACCACCUUAUGUACCAACACCUCCAAUUGUGAAACCACCAAUUGUUUUUCCACCACAUGUUCCUCUACCUCCAGUUGUGCCUGUAACACCACCUUAUGUGCAACCACCACCUAUUGUAACUCCACCAACACCAACACCUCCAAUUGUGACACCACCAACACCACCUAGUGAAACACCUUGUCCUCCACCACCACUUGUACCUUAUCCACCACCACCAGCACAACAAACAUGUUCCAUUGAUGCUUUGAAGUUGGGUGCAUGUGUUGAUGUGCUUGGUGGACUCAUACAUAUUGGUAUAGGUGGAAGUGCUAAACAAACAUGUUGUCCAUUGCUUCAAGGACUUGUUGAUUUGGAUGCUGCUAUAUGUCUUUGCACCA